UACAGGGGGGGCAAGCGUUGUUCGGAAUUACUGGGCGUAAAGGGCUCGUAGGUGGCCAACUAAGUCAGACGUGAAAUCCCUCAGCUUAACUGGGGAACUGCGUCUGAUACUGGAUGGCUUGAGUUUGGGAGAGGGAUGCGGAAUUCCAGGUGUAGCGGUGAAAUGCGUAGAUAUCUGGAGGAACACCGGUGGCGAAGGCGGCAUCCUGGACCAACACUGACACUGAGGAGCGAAAGCCAGGGUAGCAAACGGG
RNAcentral lists this ribosomal RNA (253 nucleotides) under uncultured bacterium. RNAcentral describes it as "partial 16S ribosomal RNA". It matches the Rfam family "Bacterial small subunit ribosomal RNA", at positions 524 to 776 of the family's 1533-position model. The record is from RNAcentral.